This 201-nucleotide unclassified non-coding RNA is filed under the name uncultured Endogonales. Its description in RNAcentral is "sequence contains ITS1". Lineage: Eukaryota; Fungi; Mucoromycota; Endogonomycetes; Endogonales. The record is from RNAcentral.
AUAAUUUACCAUUUCAUAUGGAAAAUUAAAUCCAUAUCCACCUUGUGUGCAUUGUCGAAUGUUUGCUUUGGGAGGUAACCUGGUGUUUGGCGUUUGUCGAUAUCUGGGUAGAAAGUUAAUCUUUCAACCUCCCGAAGUUUCUUUUUAACAACACUUAUAACUCUUGACUGAAAAUUUUUUGUUAUAUUAAACAAAUAAAUA